CUUAGUGGUCAUUAAAAGCUGAAUACCUUCUGUAAGGAGGAUGGCUUCUUUAACUUCAGAAGAUGAGAUUUAACAGAUCUAAUUCUGCCAGUCACAUAAACGUGAUCUCAGACAUGCCAGCUAUCUUCCACUGUGGAAAUAAUUUAUUUUGUUUCUGCAUCUGCGAGACUUAUUUCCAAAAGACACAUCUGACAAUGAAAUUUGAGCCCCAGCAAAGCCACAUAUGAGAAGACCUGAAACAGAAGAGGCAGCAACACAAGAGCACACAAGUCUCUCAGCCUGGUACCCCAUCUCAUCUGCAUUUGAGUUUUAUUGUAUUAGAGGAUGAAGCUGGAAACUCAACAGUAGAUGGGGAUAUAUUAAGAUUUCAGAUAUUCAAUCAGAAUCUAAAAGCAGCAAUUUAGAAGAGAAAUCUUAAGGGAAAAUAUCCUCCUCAACAUGAUCGUUGAGAAUGAGAAAGCAAGAACAUCUCACUCACUAUCAGAGCAACUACAUCUUGAGAUUGUCUUCAAAUGGAAGAACUUGUUUGGGAUGAAGUCGGACACCUACUGCAUGAACCAGAGAUCAACUCAGCAAAAGGAAAAAAGGAGAAAACACAAUAAGAAAGGGGAGUUGCUGUAGCUGUUGGAAGAGUGGAAAUUUUAUUAUCAUGUACAUAAAGAAAGAAUAAUGUCUUAAGACAGGAGAUGCUACCAAAACAUAAUAUACACACACCUGUUGUUAGCAGUAUUUGAGCACAGGAGGUGCUGGUUCUGAAGUAUCUCGCAGCAUUGCCAAUGAGUGAAAUGAGUGAAUGAGUGAAAUUCCCCAUUAAACUGUUGAAAUCCUGCAAAUUUUCACUGUCACUGCAUGUACCUGGGGGGAAAAGAAUGAUCCAAGAUGUAAAAUUGUCAUUUUGCUGUUGACAAAAAUGUAUUCUUGAGGAUGCUCUGAAUAUGUUACAAGCUGAAUUUAAUUUCUUAACUGUAACUCAGAUGCAAAAAAAGUCACAUUUUAUCUUAUCUUUAUUAAACAAACAGUGUGUUGAAACUGCACUGUUCCAAUGAUCAGCCAAAUGAUAAGAUAGGAGGAAUAGUUAAAAUUCAAAUUCUAAACAGUAGGGUUUGGGGACUGGAAGAAUUAAUGGAUAAUGCUAGUAUUCAGUAAGUAUUAUAGCACCAGAACUUUCCAUAAAUGCAGAACAGUGCUUAGGGUCUUUAAAAUCACUACUGUCAUAAAGAUCAUUUUCAAAACAAAAGAUGUAUAUUCACAAAAAAUUCAAACAGACACAGCUGUAACCCUAUCAACCUUAUCAAGCAACGCAGUCAAAGAGGAAAGAGUUUUUUUCUUUGUUUAGCAAAUUAUCUUAACUUUGCUACCUGUGCUAUAGAAAAUCAUGUACUACAAAAGCAAAUUACAUGCAGUUAUAUCCAGACCUUUCUUUGCCACCUUGUCUUUUAAUGUUGUAUAUUGGUGAACAAAAUUAAAUGCCUAAAAG
Long non-coding RNA from Gallus gallus (chicken), 1477 nucleotides. The record is from Ensembl. Lineage: Eukaryota; Metazoa; Chordata; Aves; Galliformes; Phasianidae.